RNAcentral lists this ribosomal RNA (497 nucleotides) under uncultured bacterium. Its description in RNAcentral is "partial 16S ribosomal RNA". It matches the Rfam family "Bacterial small subunit ribosomal RNA", at positions 28 to 507 of the family's 1533-position model. The record is from RNAcentral.
GAUGAACGCUGGCGGCGUGCCUAAUACAUGCAAGUCGAGCGAACGGACCAGAAGCUUGCUUCUCUAAUGUUAGCGGCGGACGGGUGAGUAACACGUGGAUAACCUACCUAUCAGACUGGGAUAACUUCGGGAAACCGUAUCUUAUACCGGAUAAUAUUUUGACCUGCAUUGUUCCAAAGUUAAAUACGCUCUUGCUGUCACUUAUAGAUGGAUCCGCCCUGCAUUAGUUAGUGGGGAAGGUAACGGCUUACCAAGGCAACGAUGCAUAGCCGACCUCAGAGGGUGGUCGGCCACACGGGAACUGAGACACGGUCCAGACACCGACGGGAGGCAGCAGUAGGGAAUCUUACGCAAUGGGCGAAUGCGUGACGUAGCAACGCCGCGGGAGGGAUGAAGGUCUACUGAUGGUAAAAUUCUGUUAUUAGGGAAGAACAUAUGUGUAAUUAACUGUGAACAUAUUGACGGUACCUAAUCAGAAAGCCACGGCUAACUACGUG